RNAcentral lists this ribosomal RNA (562 nucleotides) under uncultured bacterium. RNAcentral's name for it is "partial 16S ribosomal RNA". It matches the Rfam family "Bacterial small subunit ribosomal RNA", at positions 355 to 1375 of the family's 1533-position model. The record is from RNAcentral.
UGGGGAAUAUUGCACAAUGGGCGAAAGCCUGAUGCAGCAACGCCGCGUGAGUGAUGAAGGCCUUCGGGUUGUAAAGCUCUGUCUUUUGGGACGAUAAUGACGGUACCAAAGGAGGAAGCCACGGCUAACUACGUGCCAGCAGCCGCGGUAAUACGUAGGUGGCAAGCGUUGUCCGGAUUUACUGGGCGUAAAGGAUGCGUAGGCGGAUUUUUAAGUGAGAUGUGAAAACCCUAAGCUUAACUUGGGGACUGCAUUUCAUACUGGAAAUCUAGAGUGCGGGAGAGGAGAAUGGAAUUCCUAGUGUAGCGGUGAAAUGCGUAGAGAUUAGGAAGAACACCAGUGGCGAAGGCGAUUCUCUGGACCGUAACUGACGCUGAGGCAUGAAAGCGUGGGUAGCAAACAGGAUUAGAUACCCUGGUAGUCCACGCCGUAAACGAUGAGUACUAGGUGUAGGAGGUAUCGACCCCUUCUGUGCCGCAGUUAACACAAUAAGUACUCCGCCUGGGAAGUACGAUCGCAAGAUUAAAACUUAAAUGAAUUGACGGGGUCAUAGCUGUUUCCU